AUGGAGGCGACCAAAUUCACUCGGCAAACGGUUCUGGACUUGAGAACAAGGAGAAUCAUUCUUAGAGGACGGUGCAUGGGAGGCCUCUACCCACUCAUAUCAUCAUCAUCAUCUUCAUGGUCCAAUAAACAAGCAAAUAUUUUCACCAAGCUUUCAUCAUCAAGGUGGCAUAGUCGCUUGGGUCAUCCAUCUUUAGUCAUAGUUAAAUAUGUUCUUAGCAAAAAUAAACUCGCUUAUGAGCCUAGUGUUGAGUCAGUUUGUGAUCCAUGUCAACAAGCAAAAAGUCAUCAAUUACCUUACCCUAUUUCUACUAGUGUGUCCACUGCCUUACUACAACUUAUCUUUUCAGAUGUAUGGGUC
Molecule: ribosomal RNA, 360 nt
Filed under: Triticum aestivum (bread wheat)
Lineage: Eukaryota; Viridiplantae; Streptophyta; Magnoliopsida; Poales; Poaceae
Description: partial small subunit ribosomal RNA
Source: RNAcentral